Small nuclear RNA from Panthera pardus (leopard), 126 nucleotides. Its record names the gene U2. It matches the Rfam family "U2 spliceosomal RNA". From Rfam's summary of the family: U2 is a small nuclear RNA (snRNA) component of the spliceosome (involved in pre-mRNA splicing). NCBI's taxonomy places the organism in Eukaryota, Metazoa, Chordata, Mammalia, Carnivora, Felidae. The record is from Ensembl.
AUCGCUUCUCGGCCUUUUGGCUAAGAUCAAGUGUAGUAUCUGUUCUUAUCAGUUUAGAUAUAUCUGCACCUGUAUGAGAUAAGUCACACAUGUUUAAAUGUUAGAAACAUGUCAAACAUGUCCUCU